AGGGAUCAUUACCGAGUUUACAACUCCCAAACCCAAUGUGAACGUUACCAAACUGUUGCCUCGGCGGGAUCUCUGCCCCGGGUGCGUCGCAGCCCCGGACCAAGGCGCCCGCCGGAGGACCAACCAAAACUCUUAUUGUAUACCCCCUCGCGGGUUUUUUUUUAUAAUCUGAGCCUUCUCGGCGCCUCUCGUAGGCGUUUCGAAAAUGAAUCAAAACUUUCAACAACGGAUCUCUUGGUUCUGGCAUCGAUGAAAAACGCAGCGAAAUGCGAUAAGUAAUGUGAAUUGCAAAAUUCAGUGAAUCAUCGAAUCUUUGAACGCACAUUGCGCCCGCCAGUAUUCUGGCGGGCAUGCCUGUCCGAGCGUCAUUUCAACCCUCGAACCCCUCCGGGGGGUCGGCGUUGGGGAUCGGCCCUGCCUUGGCGGUGGCCGUCUCCGAAAUACAGUGGCGGUCUCGCCGCAGCCUCUCCUGCGCAGUAGUUUGCACACUCGCAUCGGGAGCGCGGCGCGUCCACAGCCGUUAAACACCCAACUUCUGAAAUGUUGACCUCGGAUCAGGUAGGAAUACCCGCUGAACUUAAGCAUAUCAAUAAGCGGAGGAAAGAAAACC
RNAcentral lists this ribosomal RNA (610 nucleotides) under Trichoderma harzianum. RNAcentral describes it as "eukaryotic LSU rRNA". The stretch from base 215 to 368 matches the Rfam family "5.8S ribosomal RNA". Lineage: Eukaryota; Fungi; Ascomycota; Sordariomycetes; Hypocreales; Hypocreaceae. The record is from RNAcentral.